GUGCUUGCUUCAGCAGCACAUAUACUAGAAUUGGAACACAGAGUACAGUAACACGACCCCUGAACAAGGAUGACAUUCAAAUUCGUGAAGUGCUCCAUAUUUUU
Small nuclear RNA from Eubalaena glacialis (North Atlantic right whale), 104 nucleotides. Lineage: Eukaryota; Metazoa; Chordata; Mammalia; Artiodactyla; Balaenidae. The record is from RefSeq and is a predicted model, not a curated record.